Molecule: long non-coding RNA, 232 nt
Organism: Diorhabda carinulata
Lineage: Eukaryota; Metazoa; Arthropoda; Insecta; Coleoptera; Chrysomelidae
Exons: 2
Source: RefSeq, a predicted model, not a curated record
GUAAAAUAUAAUUGAUUGUCUAAUAGCUUAAUAAGUAGAAUUGUAUAUGGCGCUACUAUGCCAUAUUGCCAGAUCACUAUUUCCAAAAUAAAAUGUUAAGCGUUUAGUAAUUAAUAAAUGCUAUCAACCGCCUCGGCAACACGUAGCAGAUAUAUUAGACGAACAAAAACGUGAACAGUUAGAAACAAAAGACGACAAAAAAACCGUAACUUUCAACAACCAAUUAGAAAAA